CAGUCGCCGCGGGAAUACGUAGGGUGCGAGCGUUAAUCGGAAUUACUGGGCGUAAAGCGGGCGCAGACGGUUACUUAAGCAGGAUGUGAAAUCCCCGGGCUCAACCUGGGAAUUGCGUUCUGAACUGGGUGGCUAGAGUGUGUCAGAGGGGGGUAGAAUUCCACGUGUAGCAGUGAAAUGCGUAGAGAUGUGGAGGAAUACCGAUGGCGGAGGCAGCCCCCUGGGAUAGCACUGACGUUCAUGCCCGAAAGCGUGGGUAGCAAACAGGAUUAGAGACCCCAGUAGUCCCUGUCUCUUAUAA
Molecule: ribosomal RNA, 301 nt
Filed under: uncultured bacterium
Lineage: Bacteria
Description: partial 16S ribosomal RNA
Rfam family: Bacterial small subunit ribosomal RNA
Source: RNAcentral